UACGGAGGGUGCAAGCGUUAAUCGGAAUUACUGGGCGUAAAGGGUGCGUAGGCGGUUGUUUAAGUCUGUUGUGAAAUCCCCGGGCUCAACCUGGGAAUGGCAAUGGAUACUGGGCAGCUAGAGUGUGUCAGAGGAUGGUGGAAUUCCCGGUGUAGCGGUGAAAUGCAUAGAGAUCGGGAGGAACAUCUGUGGCGAAGGCGGCCACCUGGACCAACACUGACACUGAGGCACGAAAGCGUGGGGAGCAAACAGG
Molecule: ribosomal RNA, 253 nt
Filed under: uncultured bacterium
Lineage: Bacteria
Description: partial 16S ribosomal RNA
Rfam family: Bacterial small subunit ribosomal RNA
Source: RNAcentral